GACGAACGCUGGCGGCGUGCUUAACACAUGCAAGUCGAACGAAGUGGCGAACGGGUGAGUAACGCGUAAUCAACCUGCCCUUCAGUGGGGGACAACAGUUGGAAACGACCGCUAAUACCGCAUACUGAAGGAGGGGCUUGCGUCUGAUUAGCUAGUUGGCGGGGUAACGGCCCACCAAGGCGAUGAUCAGUUGCCGGUCUGUGAGGAUGAACGGCCAAAAUGGGACUGAGACACGGCCCAGACUCCUACGGGAGGCAGCAGUGGGGAAUCUUCCGCAAUGGACGAAAGUCUGACGGAGCAACGCCGCGUGAGUGAUGACGGCCUUCGGGUUGUAAAGCUCUGUUAAUCGGGACGCGGUACCGGAAUAGAAAGCCACGGCUAACUACGUGCCAGCAGCCGCGGUAAUUC
This 408-nucleotide ribosomal RNA is filed under the name uncultured bacterium. RNAcentral's name for it is "partial 16S ribosomal RNA". It matches the Rfam family "Bacterial small subunit ribosomal RNA", at positions 28 to 526 of the family's 1533-position model. The record is from RNAcentral.